UACUGGCUACGUUGCCUCGUUGGACAG
This 27-nucleotide small RNA is filed under the name Bombyx mori (domestic silkworm). Its description in RNAcentral is "ovarian small RNA-6195". The record is from RNAcentral. Lineage: Eukaryota; Metazoa; Arthropoda; Insecta; Lepidoptera; Bombycidae.